UUUACUUAGAACUAUAAUCAGUCUUAAAAAGAAAUUGCGACCCGAAAUGUGAUCAAAAUGUUUUUUCGCAGUACUCACGAACUUUGAUUCUCGCUAAAUAUUAGGACUUGCCAACUUGUAAUUGUAAUAAACACAAAGCUUUUUUAACCCUUCUUCGUUGUUUUUUUUUUAAAAAAAAAUGGAGUCCUCUUUUGUAAUAUAAUCACAGUAACACGAAAGAGUGUUUUUCGCGCCAAAAAUAAAUUGAUUAUUCCAUAUCGAAUAUUUAAAAUUAUUUGAUGGAGCGCUUCAGUUACGGGUGGAUGAUUAUAAGUGUUGCUUAAAAGUUUUAAUUGAUUUAUUUAUGUUUGUUUGAUUUAGUAAAAGUUGUUGGAGAAGAAAGAUAAUUAUAACAGAAAGAGAUCGAGACGUGUGUAUUUGAUAGGAAAAAGUUAAAAAUAUAUGGUAUUCGAGUAAAAGAGGGAGAGAGAGCGCGCACUGUCAUAACAAACCUAAAACAACGUUACGAUAUUCUAUUAUAGCUAUCAACAAAACGAUUCAUAAUUUUAUUCACAGAAGAAGAACUCACACGACGCGCACAAGUGCCAACGUAGCCAUGGUGGUAUGGAUUAUGGAAAGACAGAACAUCUUUAUUUGCAUGAUGAUAUUUUUCUGUUAACUGGUUUAGCUUUUCAUUAUUUUUACUCCUUUCCAAUAUAUGUGGAUUCACCAAUAUAUCUUGAAUUAUUUUUUAUUCAUAUUUUUAUUUAUUUAACUGACUCAACUCUUCUUCUUUUCUGCCGUGUAUUUAUUUUACAGUUGGGUUUGCUUGAACGCCAUAACGUCCGGCAAAAUAUUCAAAACAGAAAGUCGGAAACGUUUUUUACUUGUCUCGUCUAUGAUCUCUCCUGGUGUUCUAGAAUGUUGCGUCAUGUGCAAAUGAACUCUUCCGUAAAAAUUCGAUAUAAAUUGAUUCAAUCCAAAAAAAAAUAUACAAGGUUAGAUGACCUUACAUUUCAUAUUAGACAAGCUCAUCGGCAGUAAUGGUAUGAAGUUACUAAAGCAAUGCACAGAGGGGAUGGCAUUGAAUUAAGCCGGCUUCUGCAUAUCAUAUCUACCACGUUUGAGAAGGCGGUUUGAAGUUUAUGAAAAACAAGUUAAAGUCUUUAUACAACACAAGAUAAUACAAUAGUCUAUAUUUUUAGAGAUUUGCGCAAUUUUUAGUAUCAACUUGUUUUCUUAAUCCAUCAGUCAAUUAAAUUUAGUUCUUCAUCAGUUAUGGUCUAAUCUUUUUGUGGCUGAGUGUUCUCUUCCAGUGCGAAAGGUCGUGGGUUCAAACCCCGGUUUAGUUAUAUCCUGUCUUAGAUAAAUAAUCAUCAAGAAUUUUUAAUAAAAACAAUAAAUUUCAUAUUGAAGUGCCAGACACUGCGUUCAUUUGAAAAUUUGCUUGUAUUGUAGAAGAGUUGAAAUGGAAGAACUGUCUUUAGUUCAUCUUCUUUUCACAUUAUUAAUCUAUUUUAUUUGUUGCAAAUAUCUUUGUUGGUUUUCAAGAUAUAGAAAUUUAGCUAAUAAUAAAGAAUUUCGAUAUGUUAAGUUAGAUACUGAAAACAAUGGCUGGUAAAUAAUAAUCAAGAUUACUAAAUAUUAAUAUUUAUGUAAAUAUAUUCCAAAUGUGAAACUGGAUAAGUAACAACAUAUUUACUUUACCACAUACCUUGAUAAAUCCAUAAAACAGCACCUUAUAUUAAAUAUAUGACGUCAUGCAUUAAAUUAGCAUAAUUAUGACUCCUAAACUUAAAAAUCUUAAGAACUGAUCGAGAUUUUUCAAAAAAAAAUAAAAAGAUUCAUAGAAAAAUUUUCAAGCUCUUACAUGUGAGUCCAACUUGUUUUUUCGUGGGAGGUAAGCUUUCACCAAGAAGGAGAAUAAUUUUGUAUUACAACGAAAGUAGAAAGUAAGCCCACUUAAAAAAUAUUGAUUUCAUAUCUCCAAUUGAAGAUAUUAAGACCAACAGUAGUGCUUUUUUACCAGUUGCUAGGUCUUUAAGGAUUUUAGCCUGGUGUUGCGGUACAAAAGCGUGUGGGCUGUACCUAUUUUCCAGAGUGAAUAUAUUUUACCUGUUAAUAAAAAAUGUUGAAAAAAGAACUUAGGUCAUAAGAGAAAAAAAUUGUUCUUGCCCACGCUUUUCUAUAAUCUUAAACAUAAUUAUGUAAAAAAUAGAACAAUAAAUUGCUUAUCGAGCUGUCUCCUUAAAAGGCCAAUGAAUCAGCCAGUGUGAGGAUUAUAUUCUUAUCCAACUGACUUAACAAUCAAAUCGACUCAAAAGUCCGGCAAAGAAUGAGCACGAAGAGAUUGAUCUGUCUGUUCUUCAUUACGAACGCAAUCUUUGCUUUGGUGGAUACCAAGCCACUUGAUCUAGUUACGUUUUGCCAUAUGGAAUGCUCCAGAAAGCUGAGUCGAUGCUUGAGUAUACCGAAUGAUGACAUACAACAUGCACUUGUGUGCAUUCAAAGUAAAUUCAUUUGCCGAAGAGAAUGUGUCUUAAAAGCAAAGAUGGCAGACAGGUGAAGUGGUGACACAAUGUCUUUUAAAAAGCAAACGAAAUAGCUCAAUGUAAAUGAGACAACAUGCAACUAAAUGAGACAACAUUUGACUGGAGUAAGAUGUGACUGGAGCAAGAUGUAACUUUUACCAAAGUGCAACAGAGGCAAAAAUUGAUUGAGGCAAGUUGGUAAAGUGAAAAUAAUGAAGAAUUUGCAAUAUAUCACUAUCGAAGAGAAAUGCUGAUGUGUGCAAAAAUAAUCUAUAUCUAUUCAUUAUUCUAGAAAUUAUGUAUACGUAACUGGUCAUACAUAACCCAUAAAAACGUUCCCCAUAUUUAAAAACGUUACCAUAGCACCAGAUUCGUAUAAAUACAACAUGAAAAAUGAUUAAUUAUACGGAUUUAUCAUUUUAAUGCCGGAUAUAUCAGUCACAUUCCCAUGCUGGGUAAUAUGUCACAGCUUUGAUGUGAGGAAAAUAUACCACCUGGUGGGAUUAUGAAAAGAUUUUAUGACGAAUCUCAAGACAUGUGUUAAUUCCAUUAAUCAGUAAACAAACUGAUGUUGGCCUGAUUAACUUGAGAUGUCGCGUUUUUUUAUUUUUUUUAUGUAUUGUUGUUGUUGUUGUGGUUGUUGUUGUUGUUUUUCUUGUUGUUGUUUUACUAUUAUUACAACUGUUUAUCCAUGGUGGCCUCUUUAGUUCUUUUUAGUUCUGUUAUCGAUGAUAGUACUGCGAAAGGGGGUCCUAGUGCAUGUAGAUCUAGUAGGUGAGCUACGAAAGCUGUGCAAGCACAAAAAUCUGCCAAUUGCACAACCGCCUAAGAUAGUAAACCUACUCUCAUACUGAAGGCUAAGUAGAACGUUUUAUUAGGUGACUCGACCAGGGCUUGAACCUAUAACCUUCUUUGCUGUCGUGUUUUUUGUUUGUUUGUUUUGUUGAUGUUGUUGUUGUCGCUGUUAUGGUUUUCAUUUAUCUGCUGUAUUGUAGAAUUGAAACAAAAUGUAAAAAUAUCUAUCUAGACAUUAGAGUAAAUUUUAUUAUAUUUAUCUAUUUAUUUAUUUAUUUAUUUUUCAAGAUUAUUAAAACUUGUAAAUGCAAACAAUAAUGACGAUUAUCUUAAUGCAACAUAUUUUUAUUAAAACUAAA
This is a long non-coding RNA of Hydractinia symbiolongicarpus, 3664 nucleotides long. RefSeq lists it as uncharacterized. The record is from RefSeq and is a predicted model, not a curated record. The transcript is spliced from 2 exons. Lineage: Eukaryota; Metazoa; Cnidaria; Hydrozoa; Anthoathecata; Hydractiniidae.